GCUUUAUCUGGGUGACUGCAUGGCAAUGAAUUUCUGCAUUGAAAGUUCUAACUGACUAAACUGACAUUCUGCACUGCAGCAAGUGACUGUGUCAGGCAAAGCUUAGUUUAUAAGCAAGUGUCCUGGAGUGAAAACGGCGUUGGAGAUAAUGAUAUCUCAGGGCAAUUUCUUUUGAAAUAUAUUCAUUCUGCCUUGUAUCCAGAGAAAAUAAAAGGGAACGUGAAAAGAUAGUUAAUUUCUCAUUUUACCUUUUUAAGAAUCUAUUUGGAGGGUUGUGCAUUGCCAAGGCCCCUUUAGAUGGAAUAUAAUACAGCAGAAGCCUUUUCAUCAAAAGGAUUAAUGCCUGCAUCAUCAUUUCUGCAAUAAAACAAGAAGCUAAGUGGUGGAGGCCACAGACACUUCAAACCUGGAUUCCACAAUUCUAUGUUAAGUGUUGGAGUUUUUAUUACUGUGCUGUAGGAAAGCCUUUGCCAAUGCUUACAAGGAACUCUUUAUCCCUGCUUCUCUGGGUUCUGUUUGAUGGAGGUCUCUUAACACCACUACAAUCACAGCCACAGCAGACUUUAGCCACAGAGCCAAGAGAAAAUGUUAUCCAUCUGCCAGGACAACGGCCACACUUCCAACGUGUUAAACGUGGCUGGGUAUGGAAUCAAUUUUUUGUGCUGG
Molecule: small RNA, 666 nt
Filed under: Pongo abelii (Sumatran orangutan)
Lineage: Eukaryota; Metazoa; Chordata; Mammalia; Primates; Hominidae
Description: processed transcript
Source: RNAcentral